CUGGCCUGGUCUAAUCUGGCAUGCAGCCAUUGCAUCCAUCACCCGGAAAAUAUGACUGAGUGUUAAGAAGUGAAUUUCAGCUCAGACAAGUGGAAUGACUUGCUCUUAGUGACACAGCGUCAGCAGCAGGAUCUGCACCGACAACCUCGGGGCUUGAAGUCCACAGCCUUAACAACUACAGUAUUUGGAACAAGGUUAUGAAGAGCCAGAACCUAUGGAAACAGAAGAUAUAAGCGAACCCUGGAUGGCAUGCUAAUCCAACACAAACACCUGGUCAAUUUAAAAUUUUAAGUAAACAUAAACCUGCAUGUCACCAGGAUGUGGGAGGAAGCCAGGGUACUGAAUAGAAAAAUCACAUGCAGAGGACAGUAUGAUCAAACAUUUGAACAGCACUAAACUUCAAACCACUCAGUCUUGAGUAUAGAGCAAUUCUGAUACACACACACACACACACACAUAGCGAUUGACUGGAGUCCUACCUAGGGUUUGCUCCUGACUGGCUUCCUAUGUUAGUUGGGAUAGGUUAUAUACUGUGUAAUAUGCAAAGUUGACUGACUGCACUUACUCAUCAACAAAACACUAUUUCUCAUUUAGUUCAAAAGCUAAGAACAUUGAUACAUAUCAAUAUUUAGGGGGAAAAAAGCCUAUAAUAGAAAUAAAUACCACAAAAGCUCAAAUAUACUCUGAUUGAAAUUCAGUAACAUUACAAGAGAAGAAAAUUAGCUGACUUUUUUAUUUGUUGAUAUGUAUUAAGUUAACUUAUAUGUUCUGUGCAGCACUAAUAGGAGGCUUGAUGCAAAUGAAGGAUGCAGCAGAACCAACUGACAGCAGCACUAGCCAAUAAGGUGGAUGUAAGAAACACUGAAGUAGAGGCAGGAAAAACAGUCUUAAUCACAUUUGCCCUGUACAGUGAGGUAUGAAAUAGAAAAGAGAAAGUUCAGCAAAGCUCUAAAGUUAGCAAGCACUAUAAAAUGUGAGUGCUGAUGCUAGGCAUUGUGGCUAUGAUUGUAGAUGUUGCUUCACCAGAAGCAAAACAGCAGAAAUUGAGAAGCAGAGACAGAAGUAGUGUCCUUGAAUCCAAGAAAAAUGGGGGGCAGAUGGUAUGUGUUUAAACUUGACAGGUCCCCCUCAAGAUACUCCAUUGUAAUACACAUUUGCACCUAUGGACCCCCACCCUGUCCUCCAAAACUAUUUACAUUUACAAGCAUAUCUGCUUACUUUGAACAGUGAUGCACCCCAGAACGUGUUACAUAUACAUUCACAUCUAUGGACUUUAAACAGGGACCCCUGAUCAUCUAAGAAAUCUCCAAAACAUAGUA
Molecule: long non-coding RNA, 1319 nt
Organism: Polypterus senegalus (gray bichir)
Lineage: Eukaryota; Metazoa; Chordata; Cladistia; Polypteriformes; Polypteridae
Exons: 3
Source: RefSeq, a predicted model, not a curated record